This 314-nucleotide ribosomal RNA is filed under the name uncultured bacterium. RNAcentral describes it as "bacterial SSU rRNA". It matches the Rfam family "Bacterial small subunit ribosomal RNA", at positions 28 to 334 of the family's 1533-position model. The record is from RNAcentral.
AAAACACUGACGAACGCUGGCGGCGUGCUUAACACAUGCAAGUCGAACGGAAAGGCCCAGCUUGCUGGGUACUCGAGUGGCGAACGGGUGAGUAACACGUGGGUGAUCUGCCCUGGACUCUGGGAUAAGCCUGGGAAACUGGGUCUAAUACCGGAUAGGACCACUGAUUGCAUGGUUGGUGGUGGAAAGCUUUUGCGGUUCAGGAUGGGCCCGCGGCCUAUCAGCUUGUUGGUGGGGUAAUGGCCUACCAAGGCGACGACGGGUAGCCGACCUGAGAGGGUGAUCGGCCACACUGGGACUGAGACACGGCCCAG